This 239-nucleotide long non-coding RNA is filed under the name Homo sapiens (human). RNAcentral describes it as "HSALNT0147159". Lineage: Eukaryota; Metazoa; Chordata; Mammalia; Primates; Hominidae. The record is from RNAcentral.
UGUUAGGUGAGAACAAAAUUGUAUGGAUCUUAACUCACCUGUUCCAGUUUUAGCUGGGAGAGAAUCUAUGUGCCCACUGGUGUCAGAACUGUCAUCUUCUGUUUGAAUGAAGAACCUUACAGUGAGAAAUUUCAAAUGGGAGUGCUACUGACAUCUGCCACAGGACAAUUCUUUGUCAUGUGCAACUGCCCCACUUUGAAGAGUGUUAAUGUCUCUGUUCCCAUAACCAGUAACAGCCU